AGCUUGUGCAGUGCGUGGCAUUGUAGUAUCCUGGAUUUCUUCUCCCAUCACAGUGCAAGAGAAGUGAGGACUCGGAGCUACUGCCAGCCGCCUCCUCUGCUUCCUGCCCCUUCAUGCAGCACUAUGCUCACUCUUGCAUGUAUGCACGUCCAAGUAUUUGCACACACACACACACACACACAGGUCUGUGUGUACAUGCACACACUCAUAGGCAAAGACUUCUUUUCUUCACGACAGUUUGACAUGGAGUUGCCUCCCUCCAUUUCUGGUGAGGAGCAGGCAGGCGUGCCUUCCACACACAGCUUGCUGCUCACAGUGGCAGCAGAAGCCCGCAGGAGGGAACCUCAUUCCCUAUGUGGCUGCAGAUUCACUGCUGUGGUCCUCUUCAGCCUCUAGUCGCUUGCUGCUAGUGGCCCUGCUAGAGAACCGGGGUUUCAUGCACACUUGCAGUCAGCUGUCCAGGCCUGGAUGUGUGGCAGCCUAUGGAUGUCUAUCUGAACAAGAAUGUACCUGAAACAUGGGAGCCCAGUUAAAAUGAUGGAGAGUUAUAUUGCAGUUCUCACAAAGGGGAUAUGCCAGAGUGAAGAAAACGGCUCUUUCCUUAGUAAGGAUUUUGAUGCCCGAAAGGCCUACCUGGCUGGCUCCAUCAAAGACAUUGUAUCUCAGUUUGGAAUGGAAACUGUUAUCUUACACACAGCACUGAUGCUAAAGAAAAGAAUUGUGGUGUAUCACCCCAAGAUAGAAGCAGUCCAGGAGUUCACCAGGACUCUGCCUGCCCUGGUGUGGCACCGACAGGACUGGACCAUCCUUCACUCUUACGUGCACCUCAACGCCGAUGAGCUGGAAGCCCUGCAGAUGUGCACAGGUUACGUCGCUGGAUUUGUAGACUUGGAGGUGAGCAACAGACCAGACCUCUAUGAUGUGUUUGUGAAUCUGGCAGAGAGUGAGAUUACCAUUGCUCCCCUUGCAAAAGAGGCCAUGGCAAUGGGCAAACUGCACAAAGAAAUGGGUCAGCUAAUUGUUCAGUCUGCAGAAGAUCCAGAGAAAUCAGAGAGCCAGGUUAUACAGGAUAUUGCUCUAAAAACAAGAGAAAUCUUUACCAACCUAGCACCGUUUUCAGAAGUUUCGGCUGAUGGAGAAAAGAGAGUCCUUAAUUUGGAGGCGCUAAAGCAAAAACGAUUUCCACCAGCAACAGAAAACUUCCUUUAUCAUCUAGCAGCAGCCGAACAAAUGCUGAAAAUCUGACUGUGUGACAGAACGUACCACUGAUGACUGAUAGAAAGCCCUCUUUCACUCUGAUUACCCACUCACUACAUGAAGUCCUGAAAAUAACAGAGAAACUGUUAUAUCUUUUUAAUGAUUUAUUUGCAAGUAUUGAGAUUUGACCUGAAAAACAAUGAAACACAUGAACACACUUCCGAUUUUCUCCUCGCUGAUUAGCUUCCUGCCUGCUGUCAGUGCUGGACGAAGUGCUAUAACUACUUUAUGUAACAUUACAGAACAGCUAGAGGUCCUGGGGUAAGAGAAAAAAAGCACAUCACGACAAAUGUGAAAGCCUUCAUUAUUACACGUUCCAGUUUGUCUCGCUGUGUAGGCAUAAGCUAAUGGUUUAUUUUCAGAAAGCUGCCUGAAACAUUGCUUUGUAUUCUUCUAGGAAGAACUUUAAUUCCUCCUGAGGAACUCUACUUUCUGAGCCAAACUGCUAAUUUUCUGCGGAACUGUCUAGAAGAUCAUUCAAGAGACCCUGCAGUUGCACUUUGUCGUAAAAGUUUAAAAAAAAAAAAAAAAAAGGUUUUUCCCAGCCUUUGAACAUUUUGCCUAUGAGAGUUUUGCAUAUAUUUUAUACUUGAGUAGACAACUUUAAUAAUCCAUAUUUAUACUAUCGCAGAAGUAAGCAUUUGGCAAACGUUCAGCCAUUAGCACUCAUUUAACCCUGUUAGCAAUAUUCUUUUGAAAAAAGUGCCAGUCCUUAUGUGAUAAACUAAGAAGCCCAUUGAAUAUAAAAGUGUGUAGGACUGAAACAGUGACCUUAUAUUAUUGCUAAGGGAAUAUGAGAUUAACUUCCUACAGGGGCCAAAACCAGAGAAAGGCUUCCAGCAACUUCGAUGAAAGUAGUUUGGCCACAUGUCAAGCCAAUUGUUUGUAUUAUUUAUGUACCUUUUUCAUAACUGGAAUUGCCAAAUAAGCAUGGAGGUCUAAAUGAUGUACUUGUUAGUGUAUUCAUUCAUAUUGAUUGUAAAGGAUUAUUUUUCACUCAGUACUGAUGUCCUUGGAAAUCUUACCUGGAAACAUGUUUGCAAAAAACAUUAUUGGAUCUUUCAUCUUUUUCUUGGUAUUACAUAUUUGUUAAAUAAAAAUUAAACACCCUCCCUUUUUUUUGAGUGAGGGCAGGGAGGACCUGAAAUAAGACAAUGUUUACUAAGGCAAAUAAUUGAAAAUUAAAUCUGCACUUUAUGGAAAUGAGAAAUAUUAACAUCUUUUUUCUCAUUUUUUUUGUAUUACUAUAUUAGCUAAUGAUCAAAGUUGUUAAAAUUAUAAAUUUAUGAUGCAGAAAUAAAAUUGAAAUAUUUUGAUAUUCAA
RNAcentral lists this small RNA (2580 nucleotides) under Pan troglodytes (chimpanzee). RNAcentral describes it as "processed transcript". Lineage: Eukaryota; Metazoa; Chordata; Mammalia; Primates; Hominidae. The record is from RNAcentral.